Phyllostomus discolor (pale spear-nosed bat) is the source of this 2992-nucleotide long non-coding RNA. RefSeq lists it as uncharacterized. The record is from RefSeq and is a predicted model, not a curated record. Lineage: Eukaryota; Metazoa; Chordata; Mammalia; Chiroptera; Phyllostomidae. The transcript has 3 exons.
AAACUUUCACACAGGCAAUCUGGCUUGAUCUUUGUUUUAUUUAAAAUAUAUAUUUACAACUAAAAUGAUAUUAAUGUUUUAAACUUAAACUCUGGUAGUCUAAAGAUGUCUGUAACAGAUUUUGUGAUUUUUGUUGCAUGGAAUUAAAAAAUACUCAAUGCUGAGCUUGGCUUGGAGAAAAAAUUUCACUUAAGUUUGUAUAGUAUAAAAUUUCACCUUGGUUUGUUAAGCUUAGUUCCAUAAUUAAAAGAAAUAAACUACGGCCAUGGCUGAUAAAGCUAAGGGCUAGGAAUUACACUAGAAUCCAUGAGAUAUACUGAGCUUACAACCCCAAAAUACCAGUGUCAAAAAUUUUGAUUUGCUUCCUAUAGUUUUCCUGUACAUGAUAUAAUCCAUAGAUUUAAAUUAUCUUUAUUUUUAAAUCCCCUUUAAGUUUCCAUAGUAAGAUUGGUCACCUUCACUUAAUUUAAAAGGAAGCCAAUGGAGAUUAGAUGAAGUACUUGAUUACCAUCAUUAUAUAUGCUUUAUUUUUUAUACAAAUAGAAUUUUAUAUUUAAGUAAUAGUGAUGACAUAAAAAUAUUAUCGCUCAUUUUAAAGUUCAUUAAGACAAAACUGUUAUGAUAAAAUGUAGGCAUAUAUAUUCAUAUCAUCUACAUAUUUAUGUCACAUUAUCUGAGCCUUUAGUAAAUAGUAUGAAAUAGAUACAGAAAAAAAACACCCAGAGUAAAUAACAGGAAAUUACUAAUAGGCAUAAAAGGUGUCUACUCAGUGAAUAAACUGGAAAUUACAAAGUAAAUAUCUUCAAAAUAAAAAUUACAAAGUGUUUACAUAGAUUUAUAACAUCAUGGAAUAAUAAAUUCACAAUGGACGAUAGUCUAUAUCAAUAUUUCAUAAAUACUUAUGACUUUCCCUUAUAUAAGUCCACUUUGGAUUUCUUCUACAUAACUACUAGAGAAGUUAGAAAAUAUUAGACAAGACUUGGCUAUGUACUUUUAAAGGGUCAGUCCUAAAUUUAGAGUUUAACAGUACUUGAGUUUUUCAACUAAUUCCAAUACAAUUCUACUUAGAAGAAAAUGAUGAAUUCUGUGUAAGUUUGAAUUUGUUAAAUAAGUCUACUCCUUUUUUAAUGUCCAAUUUUUAAAAAUCACAUCAAAUGUGACAGCUUAUAGGCUAAUCAUUCAAAACUCCCAUAACUAUUUUUAUGGAAUCACAGGACUAAAACGGUUUUCUAGUAGUUCUUUUACUACCCUCUACAAGAGGCUACCUCCAAAAGUUACUUAUAUAUCUGUUUCCAGAGAGUUCAUAUCUCCUUUAUUCAUAAAGCAUUUCUAUUUCAUAAUUUUACUAUAAAAGCCAGUGCAGCCUGUGUGGAGUGACAUGUCAGAGAGGGAAAGGGCUCUGGUACAAGAGUGACAUGGUUUCUGUAUUAGUGCCACUACUUAGAGCUGUGACACUCUGGCAAAUUACCCAACUUCUCUGUUGUCUUAGUAUCUUUUUCUGCAAGAUGCAGACAACACCACCUUGCUCAGUAAAGUGGGAUAAUACUCAGGAAAUGGUGGAAAUUAUUAUUGAUAAAAUAUGGCUAUCAAAUACUUAUCAUUAUCAUAGUUCAAGGUUACUUUCCCUGUUACUUUCCCUGUUUGUCUUCCUCAAGAUCCAGGAUAGCUGUUUUUUUUUUCCUGUUAUGGCUUAACUUCACUAGUUCAAGAUAUGCUAGCACUAAUUUUUAAUCUGUUAUAUCUAUAUUAUAACUUGUAUCAAACUAACUGAAACUCAGAUACUAUUUCUGAUACUGCUACCUACACUUGCCUUUUUGUCUAGGAAUAUGUUCUCCAAAUCUCCCUGUUUCCCUGGAAAAGACAAUGACAUAUUUCUUAUUAUGGCCAACUUAACAGCGUUAAUUUUAAAUGCUGCACCCUUUAUGUACUUAUGCAUUAUAUUUACGAGUAUAUGUCUAAUAUAUGGGACUUCUGCUUUACUGUAACUGCACUUUAACAUGCUGAGUUAAAACAACUCACAUUUUUUAUUCUUUUAAAAAAUUUAAAAUUUUCAGGAAAAGCAAAGGACCAAAAUCAUAGAUUUAAAACUCGAAGUGCCAACCUAAAAUAAUGAGCAAAUUAUUACUGUAUGAAAAUAGACAUAUUUGGGAUUUGCCUGAGCAGCACACUAGAAAAAGGCUAUAUAGAAUGUGCUUCACUUCCUUAGCAUGAUUAGGUGUGAUUCUGGGUAGUGUGGGAUCGGAGUGGGGAGAAUCUUAAGGAUAUUUAGAGCAGACUGGGAGAGCCUGAAAUGAAAGACGGGUGAGAGUUUAAGGUGGGUAUCCAAGCCUUCGUCUUGGGAAGACAGCUGCUCUGCUGGCUCCCUGAACCACAAAUACAGCGAUGGAGAGCACCACUGUGUGGCUGUUCUUUCAUCUACGAUCUUUUCCCCCGACUUCUACUUUUGCCCACUUUAAUGUUCUUCCCCAGCUUUUGCUAAUUAUAUAACCACCACUUUUUCUUCAGCUUUUUACUUAACUUUUAUUCUUUUCAAUACUUUCUUUAUUCAGUUAUCUUUCCCUUUUCUAUAUAUUUGCAGCUACUAUAAUUUUUGCCUUAUUUUCCUCUUUUGUGUUAUUUUAUAUUUCUUUGCAUUCUCUUUUCUCUUCAUCUUAUCUGACAUUUUCUCCUCCUUUUUAUUCCCCUGCCCCAUAUGGCUCUUUCUACCUUCUAUCUCUUCAGAAACAAUGUGGAUACUUUAGGUAUACAUGAUUUCUUUAUAUUUAUAAUACAGGGUCUGGCACAAAUAAUACCCCCUUUUUACUAUAAAAAUCUUUUAUUACAAAAUCAUAAGCACGUAAUUCUGUAAUAUAACAAUAUCACACUCAAGCACACCAUAUGACACUUUAGGUGAAAUGUUCAAAUUGCUGGCCAUCACGUGGGAGAUAUUCACGGACCCUACCAACCACACUCAAUGGCGUUACUUCCACAGGACCCUGUAUUAAUAGGUGAA